RNAcentral lists this ribosomal RNA (253 nucleotides) under uncultured bacterium. RNAcentral's name for it is "partial 16S ribosomal RNA". It matches the Rfam family "Bacterial small subunit ribosomal RNA", at positions 524 to 776 of the family's 1533-position model. The record is from RNAcentral.
UACAGAGGGUGCAAGCGUUGUUCGGAAUUACUGGGCGUAAAGCGCGUGUAGGCGGUUUGACAAGUUGGGUGUGAAAUCCCUCGGCUUAACCGAGGAACUGCAUUCAAAACUAUCAGACUUGAGUAUCGGAGGGGGUGGCGGAAUUCCUGGUGUAGAGGUGAAAUUCGUAGAUAUCAGGAGGAACACCCGUGGCGAAGGCGGCCACCUGGAAGAUUACUGACGCUGAGACGCGAAAGCGUGGGGAGCAAACAGG